ACGCACGCUGGCAGCGUGCUUCACACAUGCAAGUCGAACGGAAAGGCCCUGCUUUUGUGGGGUGCUCGAGUGGCGAACGGGUGAGUAACACGUGAGUAACCUGCCCUUGACUUUGGGAUAACUUCAGGAAACUGGGGCUAAUACCGGAUAGGAGCUCCUGCUGCAUGGUGGGGGUUGGAAAGUUUCGGCGGUUGGGGAUGGACUCGCGGCUUAUCAGCUUGUUGGUGGGGUAGUGGCUUACCAAGGCUUUGACGGGUAGCCGGCCUGAGAGGGUGACCGGCCACAUUGGGACUGAGAUACGGCCCAGACUCCUACGGGAGGCAGCAGUGGGGAAUAUUGCACAAUGGGCGGAAGCCUGAUGCAGCAACGCCGCGUGCGGGAUGACGGCCUUCGGGUUGUAAACCGCUUUCGCCUGUGACGAAGCGUGAGUGACGGUAAUGGGUAAAGAAGCACCGGCUAACUACGUG
RNAcentral lists this ribosomal RNA (467 nucleotides) under uncultured bacterium. Its description in RNAcentral is "partial 16S ribosomal RNA". It matches the Rfam family "Bacterial small subunit ribosomal RNA", at positions 29 to 507 of the family's 1533-position model. The record is from RNAcentral.